CCUACGGGAGGCAGCAGUGAGGAAUAUUGGUCAAUGGACGAGAGUCUGAACCAGCCAAGUAGCGUGAAGGAUGACUGUCCUAUGGGUUGUAAACUUCUUUUAUAUGGGAAUAAAAUGUUCCACGUGUGGGAUUUUGUAUGUACCUUAUGAAUAAGGAUCGGCUAACUCCGUGCCAGCAGCCGCGGUAAUACGGAGGAUCCGAGCGUUAUCCGGAUUUAUUGGGUUUAAAGGGAGCGUAGGUGGAUUGUUAAGUCAGUUGUGAAAGUUUGCGGCUCAACCGUAAAAUUGCAGUUGAUACUGGCAGUCUUGAGUACAGUAGAGGUGGGCGGAAUUCGUGGUGUAGCGGUGAAAUGCUUAGAUAUCACGAAGAACUCCGAUUGCGAAGGCAGUUCACUGGACUGCAACUGACACUGAGGCUCGAAAGUGUGGGUAUCAAACAGGAUUAGAUACCCGGGUAGUC
Molecule: ribosomal RNA, 460 nt
Filed under: uncultured bacterium
Lineage: Bacteria
Description: partial 16S ribosomal RNA
Rfam family: Bacterial small subunit ribosomal RNA
Source: RNAcentral